RNAcentral lists this ribosomal RNA (887 nucleotides) under uncultured Bacteroidota bacterium. RNAcentral's name for it is "bacterial SSU rRNA". It matches the Rfam family "Bacterial small subunit ribosomal RNA", at positions 1 to 876 of the family's 1533-position model. Lineage: Bacteria; Pseudomonadati; Bacteroidota. The record is from RNAcentral.
AUUCGCCCUUAGAGUUUGAUCAUGGCUCAGGAUGAACGCUAGCGACAGGCUUAACACAUGCAAGUCGAGGGGCAGCAUGAUUUGUAGCAAUACAGAUUGAUGGCGACCGGCGCACGGGUGAGUAACGCGUAUGCAACUUACCUAUCAGAGGGGGAUAGCCCGGCGAAAGUCGGAUUAAUACCCCAUAAAACAGGGGUCCCGCAUGGGAAUAUUUGUUAAAGAUUCAUCGCUGAUAGAUAGGCAUGCGUUCCAUUAGGCAGUUGGCGGGGUAACGGCCCACCAAACCGACGAUGGAUAGGGGUUCUGAGAGGAAGGUCCCCCACAUUGGUACUGAGACACGGACCAAACUCCUACGGGAGGCAGCAGUGAGGAAUAUUGGUCAAUGGCCGAGAGGCUGAACCAGCCAAGUCGCGUGAAGGAAGAAGGAUCUAUGGUUUGUAAACUUCUUUUAUAGGGGAAUAAAGUGGAGGACGUGUCCUUUUUUGUAUGUACCCUAUGAAUAAGCAUCGGCUAACUCCGUGCCAGCAGCCGCGGUAAUACGGAGGAUGCGAGCGUUAUCCGGAUUUAUUGGGUUUAAAGGGUGCGUAGGUGGUGAUUUAAGUCAGCGGUGAAAGUUUGUGGCUCAACCAUAAAAUUGCCGUUGAAACUGGGUUACUUGAGUGUGUUUGAGGUAGGCGGAAUGCGUGGUGUAGCGGUGAAAUGCAUAGAUAUCACGCAGAACUCCGAUUGCGAAGGCAGCUUACUAAACCAUAACUGACACUGAAGCACGAAAGCGUGGGGAUCAAACAGGAUUAGAUACCCUGGUAGUCCACGCAGUAAACGAUGAUUACUAGGAGUUUGCGAUACAAUGUAAGCUCUACAGCGAAAGCGUUAAGUAAUCCACCUGG